GUUGCCAGCAUUCAGUUGGGCACUCCAAGGUGACUGCCGGCUAAAAGUCGGAGGAAGGUGGGGAUGACGUCAAAUCAUCAUGCCCCUUAUGACCUGGGCUACACACGUGCUACAAUGGGCGGUACAAAGGGUCGCGAACCCGCGAGGGGGAGCCAAUCCCAAAAAGCCGCUCUCAGUUCGGAUUGCAGGCUGCAACUCGCCUGCAUGAAGCCGGAAUCGCUAGUAAUCGCGGAUCAGCAUGCCGCGGUGAAUACGUUCCCGGGCCUU
This 267-nucleotide ribosomal RNA is filed under the name uncultured Anoxybacillus sp. Its description in RNAcentral is "partial 16S ribosomal RNA". It matches the Rfam family "Bacterial small subunit ribosomal RNA", at positions 1114 to 1382 of the family's 1533-position model. The record is from RNAcentral. Lineage: Bacteria; Bacillati; Bacillota; Bacilli; Caryophanales; Anoxybacillaceae.